Molecule: long non-coding RNA, 15378 nt
Filed under: Nicotiana tabacum (common tobacco)
Lineage: Eukaryota; Viridiplantae; Streptophyta; Magnoliopsida; Solanales; Solanaceae
Description: long non-coding RNA (NTAB_LNC002814)
Source: RNAcentral
GUGUACGGACAGGGGUAAUUUUAUAAUUAUGAAUGUUCGGCAUGGGCAUUUUGGAACUACUCUGUGGGCCUUUUUCUCUCUCCCUCCUCGACCCCCUUACUUCUUAUCCGUCGAUCAGCAACACCCACAUGCGAGAACGCCGGUGACCAAACGCAGGUAAGCCGCCCCCUCUUCCCUCCUCUCUCCUCUCUCUUUCUUCGCACUAACACCCCCAGUCCUCGCUGGCGUCUCCUAGUCGGCGACCCCUCUCCUCUUUCCUCUUUCUUCUCUCCCCUUUCUUCUCUCUUCUAUCUUCUGCUCUCCUCCCAUUCCCCUCCUUGUGUCCAUUGCUUCUGGAAACCCUAAGAGGCAGCCCUACCAGUGACACCUAGUGUCCCUCUCUUUUUUUCUCUCCGUCUAAGUCGCCCCACUCUCCCACCCCCUUUGCCCCCUUAUUUGUGUUUUUGAUUCUUCAUUUCCUCGACCCUCCCUUCUGCAAUCGCCGACGAUCUGCUCGUUGUUUAGUUGGGCAGUUCGAGCUGCCAUAAAAUUAAAUACCAGUGUAGCGAUGACGGGUUGAUAGACCCCCCUGUGGUUUCAUAGUAGUGUGUUAUGAUUUUUUAGGUUGUUAGUCAUGGCAUUUGGCGAUGAGCGUGAGGCGUAUGAGUGAGCAGCCAGAGCAGCCCUGGAUGGUGUUUGUAAAGGCCAGUGGGAGUUUAAAGAAGCAUGUCAGUGUCGGUGACCUCGGGUGUGCACCGAGACGAAUUUCCAGGUUCUACUCGCGGGAUUUGGUACGUCCCGCUUUCCGGUUCCCUUCUUUGUGUUAGUUAAGUUGUUCCCAUUUUAUUUUACAUUAGUUUGGUCAUAUUAGUAGCGUGUUGUAGUUGCAACUUGUCCUUUUCCAGUUUGGUUCGUUGUCAUUUUUGUGUUAGUGAGUUUCCUUAGUCCGCCGUAGGUAUAGUGGUUGUGGUAUGGGAUGGUAGAGUAAGGUCAUGUUCUCGGGGAGCGCAGGGAGGGUGGGGGUGGGGCAGGGGUCAGGGGGUGGGAUGGGGGAGGGGAAGGGAAGUAAAGGGAUCAAGGGAGCCUAUAGGUUGAGAAGUAGUGUCCGGAACCAAAAUGUAAUUCUUUUUUACUCAAAAAACUAAAAUGUGUGAAAGAAAUAAGCAGUAACCAUAAUAUAUAUAACGCCCUUUUAAAGGGCGAUAUACCUUAACGACCGUUUGCCAGUUAAGUAUAGCGCCCUUUUAAAAGGCGCUAUAUGUGAACGUCAGAAGAGCGGGAAGGUUUAGCGCCCUUUAUUAAGACGUUGUACUAUAGCGUCUUAAUAAAAGGCAUUAUACCUAUAUAAAAAGUUGUCCCUUCCCUUUCCCCACCAGGAGAGAAAUUAUUUUCUCGCUCCUCAUUCUCCUGUGGAGAUAAGUUUAGAUCAGGCCAAACUCUUUCAGCCGGAACUUGUUCGACUAAAACUGUUCCAAAAUAACUACCCGAUGAAUGAGGGAUAUCCCUACUUUGCGCAACCUCAUUAUUGCGAAUGUCUUCAGUCUUGACGUACAUUUCCAAUAUUUUUAUCACAAGAAAUUUUCGGUAUUCAUCCGGAGUCCUCAAAAAAUUUCUCAGAGUUUCAUCGUCUUCGAUGUUAAACUCAGCAUAACAAGCAACCCCUUACGGAAUGAUAAAAUACAGAUAUCUUUCGGUUACUUUAAUAUUCACUGAACGUUUGCUCACACUCAUUUUUUUACAUAACAACGAUACCAAUAUAUCGUACUCCAUUGUAAGUGAAAACUUAACAUGACACUGUGGAGAUAAACUAUAGCUCACAGAGUUAUUCGCCACCACGACCUCACCCCCUAAUAUAAUGAAACCCUUAUUCUUCGCUCUUCAGACAUUAUGACAAAAUGCAAAAUAACUUAACAAGGAAAUAUUUCAGAAGACUUGAGAAUGUUUAUGAAUGAAUUUUUACAAAAUCCAUGACCUCUUUAAAUAAGCCAAAAACUAGUCCGGGGGUACAAUUAUUUGAGGUAUAACGCCUUAAAUAUGGGCGCUAUACCCAGUUGAAUUAUUGUUAUAUCAGUUAAGCUCAGAAGAAUUAUAGGUGGGCCUACAUAAUAUAUAUAUAGUGCCUUUCAAAAGGUCUUUAUAUAUAUAGCUCCUUUUAAAAGGGCGCUAUACUUAACCGGGCAAACGGUCGUUAAGGUAUAGCGCCCUUUAAAAGGGCGUUAUAUAUAUAUUAUAGUCAUUGCUCAUUUUUUCCACACAUUUUGGUUCUUUGAGUCCAAAAGAACCACAUUUUGGUUCCGGACUCAUUGGGUCAUGGAACAUAGGUACUUUGACGGGUAAGUCUAUAGAGCUGGCGAAGAUUCUCCAGAAGAGGAAGGUUAAUAUAGAGUAUGUCCAGGAGACUAGGUGGGUAGGUUCGAAGGUGAGGGAUACGGACGAGUAUAAGCUGUGGUACUUUAGAGUUUUGAAGGGUAAGAAUGGAAUGAGUAUUUUGGUGGAUAGGGAUCUUAGAGAGUCUGUGGUAGAGGUUAGGUGGGUGAAUGGUAGAUUAAUGACUAUCAAGCUAGUGGUCGGAGAGCACACCAUUAAUGUCGUUAGCGCUUACGCAACAUAAACGGGCUUGGAUGAAGAGGUUAAAAGGCGCUUUUGGGAGGGAUUGCAUGAGAUUGUGCGUGGUAUUCCGCCUACUGAGAGGUUAUUUAUAAGAGGGAAUUUCAAUGGUCAUAUUGGGUCGACUUCUGGCGGCUUUGGUGAGGUGUAUGAUGGCUUAGUUUUGGGGAUAUGAACGGAGGAGGUACUUUGCUAUUGGAUUUCGCUAAAGCUUUUGAGUUGGUGAUUGAGAACUCUAGUUUUCAAAAGAGGGAGGAGCAUCUAGUUACUUUCCAAAGUGCGGUGGCAAAGACACAGAUUUAUUAUCUCCUUCUCAGGAGGUGUGAUAUAGAGGGAUGUGCAAGGAUUGCAAGGGUAUACCGUGGGAGACCCUGGUGAUGCAACAUAGGCUCUUGGUGAUGGACGUCAGUAUCAUGAUAAAGAAGAAGAAGAGGUGUAUUCGAGGCCAACCGAGGAUCAUGUGGGGAGCCUUCACUAAUGUUAAAGCCAGGAGUUGGAGGGGAGGUUAUCGGAUAUGGGAGCCUGGAAGAGUAGUGCGGAACAAUGUGGACAACGAUGGCGAGCUUUAUAAGGAAGGGGACAAGAGUGGUGUUAAGGGUCUCGAAGGGAUACUCCGGCCGGCACAAAGGCGACUGAUGGUAGAAUGAAGUGGUCCAAGGUAAAGUGGAAGCAAAGAAGGUGGAAAAUCUGAAGUUAGUAGGUAGCACAAGCGAUGAGGAGAGGAAAGAGAACAAAAAGUAGUAUAAGGAAGCUAGGAAGGAGGCGAAGCUGGCAGUCAUGGAGGCUAAGACUGUGGCGUUUGGUCGUCUGUACGAGGAACUGGGGGAGAAAGGCAAUGAGAAAAAGUUAUUCUGAUUGUCCAAGGCAAACGAGAGGAAGGCUCGGGAUCUGGACCAAGUGAGGUGUAUCAAAGACGAGGCCAUCAUAGUAUUGAUGAGAGAGGAGUUGACAUACUUACUUUCAUAUACUUUUGAAUGAAGAGGGGGAUCAAGACAUUGUGCUAGGUAAAUUAGGCACUCUGAGAGUCACCGAGACUUUAGGUACUGCAGACGCUGUAAGCUCGGGGAGGUCGUGAGGGCUAUGCGUAAGAUGAGGAGGGGUAGAGCAACCGGACCAGACGAAAUUCCGGGAGCAUUUUGGAGGUGUGUGGGUAGAGCAGGCUUGGAGUGGCUGUCUGGGUUGUUUAAUAUUAUUUUCAGGAUGAAGAGGAUGCCCGAUGAGUGGAGGUGGAGCACGGUGAUUCCGUUAUAUAAGAACAAAUGUGAUAUUAAGAGUUGUAACAACUGUAUGGGUAUCAAGUUACUAAGUCAUACUAUGAAAGUCUCGGAGAGAAUAGUAGAAGUGAGGGUGUAGAGGACGGUAUCUAUAUCCGACAACCAGUUCGGGUUCAUGCCAGGUCGUUCAACUACAGAAGAUAUCCACCUUAUUAGGAGGUUGGUGGAGCAGUACAGGGAUAAGAAGAAGGAUUUGCACAAUGUAUUUAUUGAACUAGAGAAAGUGUAUGACAAGGUCCCUAGAGAGGUUCUUUGGAGAUGCUUGGAGGUUAAAGGGGUGUUGGUUGCCUACAUUAGGGCGAUUAAAUACAUGUAUAAUAGAGCUAAGAAUCGGGUUAGGAUAGUGGGAGAUGACUCGGAGCAUUUUUCGGUUGUUAUGGGAUUACAUCAAGGAUCUGCGCUCAGCCCGUUCCUAUUUGCCUUGGUUAUGGACUCACUGAUACGCCAUAUUCAAGGGGAGGUGCUAUGGUAUAUGUUAUUCACUGAUGACAUAGUUUUGAUUGAUGAGACGUGAGACGGAGUUAAUGAGAAGUUGGAGGUUUGGAGACAUAUCUUUGAGUCUAAGGGUUUCAAGUUUAGUAGGACUAAGACGGAACACCUGGAGUACAAGUUCGGCGCAGAGCCGAGUUAAGCGGGCGCGAAAGUGAGGCUUGAAUCAGAGGUCAUCCCCAAGUGAGGCAGAUUCAAGUACCUUGGGUCGGCUAUCCAGGGGGAUGGGAAGAUUGACGAGGAUGCUACACACCGCAUAGGCGUGGGUGGAUGAAAUAGAGACUAGCAUCUGGAGUACUGUAUGAUAGGAAAGUGCCUCUGUCACUCAAAAGUAAGCUUUACAGAGCGGUGGUUAGACCGACCAUGUUGUAUGGGGCUGAAUGUUGGUCAUUGAAGCACUCACAUGUCCAUAAGAUGAAGGUAGCAUAAAUGAGGAUAUUGAGGUGGAUGUGCAGGCACACUAGGAUGGAUAAGAUUAGGAAUGAAGAUAUUCGGGAGAAGGUGGGCAUAACUCCUAUGGAUGACGAGAUGCGGGAAGCGAGGCUCAGAUGGUUCGGGCACGUACGGAAGAGAAGCCCAGAUGCCCUGGUAAGAAGGUGUGAGUGGUUGGUUUUGGCGGGUACGAGAAGAGAUAGAGGGAGGCCUAAAAAGUAUUGGGGAGGGAAGAUUAGACAGGACAUGGUGUGACUUUAGAUUUUCGAGGACAUGGCCCUUGAUAGGAAGGUGUGGAGUUCGAGCAUUAGGAUUGUAAGUUAGAAGGUAGUUGAGCAUUGUUCUACUUUGUACAUGUGUGAGGCUAGUCUAAUCGGGUUUUUUCUUAUACUGCUAGUGGUUCAUGUUGUGUUCGCACUAUUCUGUAGUUUUUCUUUGUACCGGACCUUAUCUACUGAUUAUUGUUAAUGUUUUGCAUCUAUUUUCUGGUUGUUAUGUUGCUGUUAUUAUUUCUAUCAUUUUCUAUUGAUUACUGAUAUAUAGUCUCUCCUUUCGUCUUCUUGAGUUGAGGGUUUACCGAAAACAGUCUCUCUACCCCCUCUGGGUAGGGGUAAGGUCUGCGUACACACUACCCUCCUCAGAUCCCACUUGUGAAAUUUUACUGGGUUGUUGUUGUUAUACUCUUUAACUAGAGUCCUUACUUUUUUCUCAUUUUAACAACAUGUGCUAGCCCUUUUUGUUAUUUGUGUGAGAUAGUUGUCAUCCAUUUUCAUUUCUAUUUUGAUGUCUUCUACUCUUUCUUGGUUGAAUCUCUUCAUCUAAAAGAUGGUAAAUUUCUCCUCAAGUAGGCUACACUUAACACCGUUUGCAAAUAGCUGGUGUGUACUCAACAGUCGCCUUUUGUGUGCUUUACUUCGGCUCUGUUUCGGGUCUUUUCAUUAUUACUUCGUCUCACUUUUAUCUUUUGGUUAGAUUUUCUAUUUGCUUUUUCUUUUCACCUCUUUCGUACGUGUUACUUGUGAUCCACUCUCAAUCCACAUUCAUUGUUGAGUGGAAGAGGUCGUUGGAAGAAUAGUACCCAAUUAUGAGUCGAAGUCGAUUUCCUCAGGAAAUUAAGAAUGAGUGUUAAAGUGUACACUUGAUAUGUGUAGAAAAAAUAGCCUAAAUACACUAACAAUCAAGCUGGUUUUGCAAUUUACUUUUAUAAACUACACUAUCAAUGAUUAAUUAGAGAAAUGAAACUAGAAAUUGACUAAUUAUUUUUAGUUGUUUUCAAAUAGGUAAAAAACCUAGAGAUGUAACCUUCGCCUAGGUGUUAACCUAAUGGGUUAAUUACGCUAACACUUAUUUUAGUGAUUGGAGUGUAUGAUAGCUCUCAAUUCUAAAUUACCUACUCAAUAUCUCUCGGUCAUAGAGUGAUUUUGCCUAAUUUGAUUUUUUCAUGCCCAAAUGGGUAUCAAACCAAAUUGUUGAUAUGAGCUCAAGUCGGAUUUUCCCUAUCUCUAGUUCAAACCCUUUAAUUAGGCUAAUCAAAAGCUUAACUAACCCAAUUUCUUGUUAGCCAAGUUUUCCUAAACUAGUUAUUUCUUUCUCAAGUAAAGACCAAGCCAAAAAGGCAUGAAUCAAUGUUUGCAACCAUUAAUUCUAAAAUUAAAGCUUGAACAAGGCUAAAUAACAAAUACCCAAUCAUAAACAAGCAUUAGAUUAAUUACCCAUAAGGUUUACACACUAGAGUUGAGUCACAACCCUAGUAAAUGUCUAGCUACUCAUAGUAGAAAUUGGAGAAAAUAAAGAAGAAACACUAAUUAAAGCCAUAAUAUAAAAUUAAAAUGAUAAACUAUGGUAUUUUUGUCUUCACAAAUUUUCCAAAAUGGUAAACUACAAUGGCCACAGCUCAAAAAAACUACAAAACUUAACCUAAAAAAGUGAUUUUCGUCUAUUUAUAAUAGUCCAAAAUUCGCUGACAAAAAUGUCAUUCGAGAGGUUUUGCGGCCGCACAAUUCCAUGUGCGGCCCGCACUUUGCUUGAAUGUGCAGGUUGAGAGAUUCUACAGUCGCACAAUUUGAUCUGCGACUGCACUUCAGCUUCUGCGGCCGCACAAUUCCAUGUGCGGUCCGCACUAGAGGCAAGGCUUCAAUCUUGGUCGUUUUGCACACUCUCCGAACUUUUUGAAUUCUUGUCAAUGCGACCAUAUUUUGCGGCCGCACAAAUUGUGUGCGGUCCACACUUCUCUUCAAUCCACCUCUAAGCUUCUAACACCUCAAAUAUAUUCUCUCAGCUUCUUCAGAUAUAAGCAUUUUGAUGAUCCGACUUUGUAGAUAUGUCCAUAAUCCGAUAAUGCUUUCAAUUUUACUUCGCUUUAGAUGCAUUAUGAACGGAAAGCUUGAUAUAACAGGUAUUGUCCGCUUGAUGAAAUCUUUUAAUUCACAACCACUCCAGCCUUUCUUUGGUGGAGACGAGACACUUCAUGGACCAGUGGUGAUUGGUGUGAGUUGGAGUUAAUUGAUUAGCACCAAAUUAAUAAAGAGUCGCAGGUAUAUAAGUUUUCUUCUAAUUUUUUAUGCAGCUACCAAUAAGUAAACGCUCUAUUUCAUGUCAUUGACCAUCUUUUAUUUGGAAACUGGGACUUACUUUCCCAAUUGAUAUGUGCUUCAUUUCCGGACUUACCCCAAAUGUCGCUAUAGAUGAAACUGGAAUUCUGAGAAAUGAUGGUGCUAGGCAUAAAGUUUAAUUGGUUAGUUUUUGCUAGAUAUCUAUAUUAAUUCCUUAUUCACUUGAAAUUCAAAAGGUGAUACACGAUAGUAUCUGCUCAUUUCUUUUAAAAAAAUAGCAUAUUAUAAUGCUCUCUGAUGUGUAAUUAGAUAGCACAUGUGCUUUGUCUACAAUCCCUUAAAGUUAGUUAAAUCAUUAGAUAUGUUCAAAGAUUAAUACUAUGCAUAAGAUGUUUAGGGAGUUUGAAUAAGUAAGGUGUAUGAAUGCAGAAAAAGAGAAAAAUAUCUAAGCUUUCUCUUUAGACAAAUAGAAUAUGUCCGUGAUAAUGAAUGCAACAUUUGGACUAGCAGAAGAGAAAGCGAAAACAAAUGCAUUUCUAAGGCAAGGACUAACAUACAUUUAUUAAUUUGUGCAGAUCAAAACAAUCUUUUUGAUCUAUGUUAAUGUUCAUUGAAUGUAUUUAUUCAUUUUAUCUUUUUUAUAUGAUAAUAAUAUACUAUUUGAACUGAAGUAACUACAGGUUCAAAUAUUAACAUAUUGAAUGCUAACUUUUUCCAUCUCAAUUUUAAUUCUGAAUUUACAGCAGACAAGUAAGUUGAGCACUUUUUGCACAAAAAACUAUCAAUUUUUUUUUUCUUCUUUAAGAUGAUUUAUCAUUUAGUUAUGCGCUCCCUUGUUAUUCAUUUCCUAGAAAUUACAGAGUCAUGAUUCAAGGAAAAUAAAUGAUGGUUUCUUGUGGAAAGCUUCUGCUGGUUGCUUAUUUUUUUCUUUGCAAUUUCUCAUGCACCUUAUAGAUAGUAGUGACAAUGACGUCUGUAGAAAGUGAUGGACCCUAAUUGCCAUACAAAUAUUAUUUCAGUCGACAUUUUAUAUUCAAUCAUAGAUGCAGAGUACUGGUACGUACAUUUCCUUAGUAUGUAUCUUUUCUGGUAUUAUAGUAAGAACUAUCCGGUACUGAAUACGUCUUUUCACUUUGUAACUGGUUGAGAUCGUCUGUUAUUUGGGGAUUGAUAUUGUAGUGCAUACAACCAAACUUUUAAUAGGAGAACGCACAUUGAGAUGAGGUAAUGUGAUAGUAAAAAAAAGAUCUUGACAAAUUUGAGGGAGCUGGUUGAUGAUCAGAAAAUUACUAUCUAUUGACUGGCUUAGGGAAUAAGGAGUACAUCAUAAAAGAACCAUGACAAGCAUCAACAGGAAUCCAUGUCAUGAAGCAUUAGGCUAUUCAAGAAAAGGUUUAUUAAGGAAAUUAUUCCCCUCAAGUACCCGAGGUGUUGGAAUAUUAUCCUCCCACAAUAGAAUGAUUUAACUUACCAGUAUAUCGGUACCAAAAACGCUGGUGAACAGCGAACCACUUAAUGACUGUAAAUCACACCGGAAUUUAAUUGCGCAGAAGAAGGAGAAAAAGUUCAGAAAAUUUUGUAAGGAAAGAUUCUGGGAUCAAGGCAUAUUUAUAACUAUUUUUUGGCAUUGUUUCUGAAAAGUUUGCAACCUUUCAGAAACAGCCAUGGCGAUUGGAAUAGGCGGGAACGAUUCCCGUUUAAAAUAUUUCGGGAAAAUAAUUUAAAAUAAUUCGGAAAAAAAUGGAUCGGGUCGCGUCGCGGGUCCUGGGUUAUUCCGGGUUGACUUUUCAUUAAUUAAUUAAAGGAAAUUUUGUCCAAAAAGAUUAAUCAACCAAUCGAUCUUUGACCGAAUCCGAAGACGAAGCCGAGCGAGCGACGACGGCGAGGAGCGAGGUUUACCUUCUUUCCAACCCAUUUAAUACCAAGGGAAGUGCUUUCUCAAUAUAAGCACAUUCCCUUUUCUUUCCACCACCAAUGAAGGGAGCUCACUUUCCCUUCACAUUUCUUCCAUCCAUUUCCCAUUCACCAAUCUUUUAAUCACAACAAUCCCCCACAUGAAUGGGGAAUGGCUAUAAGACAAAGGAAUAUACAAAUGAGUGUGUGAUUUACAAGCAAGGAUUAAUUGCAUCUCGAUAAGUAUGUUUCCCUUUGAACUUUCCUUUAAUGAACUUAUAUCGGAUAUACUCGGUCAAUCGGUAGAUUUGAUAUCUUUGAACCGUCGAGCUUUGGUGUAUACCUAAACAAUAUAAGUCAUACAAUCAACCCUUAAUCAUCUAUGGUUCUCAGUGUUAUGUUCGUUUCAUCUAUGAACACCGUCUGAUUUUAUGAGUGCUUAGAGAAUAAACCUUUGCUUUCAUUCCCCUUGAAGCGACUUACACUUCACACUCACAUAGGUGAUUUCUAAACAUAUAAUCCUAUAGACACACUAUCUGGUCAUUUUCUGCCAGUUUUAGCAAAUCAUUAAAAACCUUUAAGCUUNNNNNNNNNNNNNNNNNNNNNNNNNNNNNNNNNNNNNNNNNNNNNNNNNNNNNNNNNNNNNNNNNNNNNNNNNNNNNNNNNNNNNNNNNNNNNNNNNNNNNNNNNNNNNNNNNNNNNNNNNNNNNNNNNNNNNNNNNNNNNNNNNNNNNNNNNNUGGUAGGUAGAGUUACUGCCAUGAUGACUUGUCCUAGGCCUUAAUCACAUUCCCUUCGAUGAUCUUUCAUCCUCCUCUCUAGAUAGGCCUUUUGUAAGUGGAUCCGACACGUUAUCUCUUGACUUCACGUAGUCAAUUGUUAUAACACCACUAGAGACUAGUUGUCUAACGGUAUUGUGUCUCACUCGUGGGUGACGAGACUUUUCGUUAUCACAAUGUAUACAUAUAGGUGCCAAAGGUUUGGGCCAAAAUAGAAUAUCUUCCAAGAAAUUCCAGAUCCAUUCAACUUCUUCACCGGCCUUGUCUAAAGCUAUAAAUUCAUAUUCAAUUGUAGAACUGUUGAUGCAUGUUUGUCUGGAUGAUUUCCAAGACACUACUCCACCCCCAAUUGUGAAAAUAUAUCCACUCGUGGAUUUAACUUCAGAUGAUCCGGUGAUCCAAUUUGCAUCACUAUGACCCUCAAUCACGGAGGGAUAUUUGUUAUAAUGCAGAGCAUAGUCUUAGGUAUGUUUCAGAUACCCCAAAACUCGUUUCAUUCGCAUCCAAUGUAUUUGAUUGGGAUUAGUUGUGAACCGACUCAGUUUGCUAAUAGCACAUGCUAUAUCUAGUCGCGUACAAUUCAUGAUAUAUCAAACUUCCCAAUACUCUUACAUAGUCCAGUUGUGAGUCACUCUCACCUUCAUUAUUUUGAAGUGCAUAACUCACGUCAAUUGGAGUCUUGGCAAUCUUGAAAUCCAAAUACUUGAAUUUGUCAAAUACUUUUUCAAUGUAGUGAGACUGUGAUAAUGCUAGACCUUGCGGAGUCUUGUAAAUUCUGAUUCCUAAGAUCACAUCAGCAACUUCUAAGUCUUUCAUGUCUAAUUUGCUAGCUAACAUGCGCUUAAUAGCAUUUAUAUCUUCCAUAUUUUUGCUCAUAUCAACACGUCAUCAACAUAUAAACAAACAAUGACUUCAUGACCUGGAGUAUUUUUAAUGUAACACACAUUUAUCACAUUCGUUGAUUUUAAAAGCAUUUGCUAACAUUGUUUGGUCAAAUUUAGCAUGCCAUUGUUUGGGCACUUGUUUAAGUCCAUAAAAUGACUUAACAAGUUUUCACACUUUCUUUUCUUUACCAGGAACAACAAAACCCUCAGGUUAUUCCAUAUAAGUUUUUUCCUCCGAUUCUCCAUUUAAGAAAGCUGUUUUAACAUCCAUUUGAUGGAUUUCAAGACCAUACACGACCGCCAGUGCCACUAACACCCUAAUAGAUGUUUUGCUUGUUACUGGCGAGUAAGUAUCAAAGUAAUCUAGGCCUUCCUUUUGUUUAUAACCUUUGACAACAAGUCUUGCCUUAUAUUUGUCAAUAGUGCCAUAAACUUUUAUUUUCCUCUUAAAGAUCUAUUUCGAACCUAAAGUCUUAUUUCAUGGAGGAAGAUCAACCAAUUCCCAUGUAUUAUUAUCCAAAAUUAAUUGAAUCCUACUAUUGACUUCCUCUUUUCAAAAUAUUGAAUCAGAAGAUAACAUAGUUGCUUUGAAAGUUUGAGGCUCACUUUCAAGCAAGAAUGUCACAAAAUAUGGUCCAAAGGAAGUAGAUAUUCUUCGACAUUUCCUACGCCUUUGAUCUUCUUCACUUGGAGUAUUUUCCUUUAGUUCUUCCCGUGGUCGUUUAGGUCUUUCACUUGACGACUCACAUUCAAUUUUAUACGGAUAGGUCUUUUCUAAGCAUUCGACAUUAUCCGAUUCAAAUACUAUAUUAACAUGAAUUUCGGGAUUAUCAGAUUUAUGAACCAAAAACCGACAUACUUUACUGUUUGUAGCGUAUCCAAUAAAAACACAAUCCACAGUUUUUGGUCCAUUUUUACCUGUUUGGGUAAAGAUACCUGUACCUUUGCUAAAGACCCACACACUUUGAAAUAUUGCAAGUUGGGGUUUCUUUCUUUCCAUUUUUCAUAUGGAAUAGAUUGUGUUUUAUUGUGGGGUACUCUAUUGAGUAUUCGGUUAGCUGUAAGGAUAGCUUCCCUCCCCCCUCAAACUAUGCGGUAAGCCGGAACUUAUUAAUAAAGAAUUCAUCAUUUCCUUUAAUGUUUGCUUUUUUCUUUCCACAAUUCCAUUAGAUUGAGGUGUGUAGAGGGCAGUAAUUUGAUGGAUAAUUCCACAUUCCGAACAUAUUUUGUAAACGAAGAUUCGUAUUCUCCACCCCUCUGUAAUGACCCGACUUGUCAUUUUAAGAAUUAACGCCCCGUUCAGCGACUUAAGGUCCCGAGCAACUUCGUAAUAUGUAUUAUGACCCGCGGGUGUGGUCGAUUUUGAUUUUUGGAGUAUUCGAAAUUUAAUUAAAAGAACAAUUCUUAUUUAGAAGCUUAAAUGAAAAGAGUUGACCGGAGAGUUGAGUUUUGAGCAAACGACCCCGGAGUAGAAUUUAGAUGAUGGAAAUAGUUUUGUAUGAUGAUUUCAGAUUUAGGCGUAUGUUCGGAUUUGGAUUUGGAAGUCCGUAGGACAAUUCGACGCAUUUUGGCGAAAGUUAAAAAAUAGAAGAUUUUUGGAAAGUCCGACCGAAGGUUGAAUUUUUGAUAACAAGGUCGGAUUUCGAUUCCGGAAAUUGGAAUAGCUCCAUUACACCAUUUAUUACUUGUGUGCAAAAUUUGAGGUCAAUCAGAUGUGACUUGAUAGGUUUUGGCGUUAUUUGUAGAAUUUGAAAGUUUCAAAGUUCAUUAGGCUUGAAUUGGGGUAUGAUUCAUGGUUUUAGUGUUAUUUAAGGUGAUUUGAGGGUUCGACUAAGCUCGUAUGAUGUUUUAGGACUUGUCAUAAUAUUUGGUUGAGGUCCUGAGGGGCUCGGGUGAGUAUCGGAUGGCUAACGGAUCAUUUUUGACUUUUGGGAGAUUGCUGAUAGCUGCUGGUAUUUUCUUAUGAUUUCCUUAUAUGCUAUUGCUUAAGUCCGUCUGCGAUCGCGUAGGAAAUUUGGGCAGAGGCGAAUUUGUUCUAUGCGAUCGCGUAAAUGGGGUUGCGAUUGCAUAGGCUUAAUUGGGCAGCUGGAAAUCUGUUCUAUGCGAUCGCAUGGGAACGUCCACGAUCGCGUAGGUUUGAGCGAGCUGUGCUAUGCGAACGCUGUGCUAUGUGAAUGCGUGGCUAAGGCCGCAUUUGCGAAGAGGAACGGAGGGAGGAGCUGGGUUAUGCGCGCUUAAUGCUUCGCGAUCGCAUAGGUUUGCGGAGUUAGUGCUUCGCAAUCGUGUGAGAUUUUCCGCGAUCGCGUAGAGUUAAUUUUGGCAGUGUUGAAAUUGUGCUUCGCGAUCACGUGAGGAAGUUCGCGAUCGCGUAGAAGAAAUCAGUUGGCAGAGAGUUUAAGUUCUGUCCCAUUUUCCAUUUUUACCGAUUUGGAGCUCGGGAAGAGGCGAUAUUUGGGAGAUUAUCAGAAGAAACAAUGGGGUAAGUGUUCUUAACUCAAUAUUGGUUAAAUUAUCCGAAUCCAUAGUUGUUUUUAACAUUUAAUCGGUGAAUUAAGUUGGAAAAAUUGUGAAAACCCUCUUGGUUUAAUUUAAGAUUUAGAGGUCGAGUUGUUAUUGGAAUUCGAUAAAAUUGGUAUGAUUGAACUCGAAUCGGAAUGGGUGUUCAGAUUUCGUAAAAAUUAUGCCGGGUUCCGAUAGGCGGGCCCCGCGUUGACUUUUGUUAACCUUUUGGAAUAAAUUUAUAAGUCGACGUUUUAGUAUCUGGAAUUGUUUUCGAUGAAUAUUAAUGAAGUUGUACAAUUAAUUUGGAUAGAUUUGAGCAGUCCGAAGGACAAUUCAAGCAAGAAGGCAAUUUUUGGAAUAUCGACAUAACUUCAAAAAGGUAAGUGUCUUGCCUAACCGUGAGUGGGGGAAUUACCCCUUAGGCAUCGAGUCUUAUGUGCCAUUUGUGAAAUGUGAAAAGCCGUGUACGCGAGGUGACGAGUACGUACCCGGGCUUAUAUGUGCAAAAAUUUAUUGAGUUAAAGUCUUAGGCAUAUUGUGUAGUAAAUUGGAUAAUUGUUGGCAUAUAUUUAAUCAUCUAAUUUCCAUGCCUCGAAUCACAUUUAUUGAACUUCUUUUUAUAUGACAAUUCGAUGUAAUUAUUACUUGUAUAUUUAUGUGAAUUCCGUGAGUUCGAUGGUUUGAUAUUUCUUAGAAUUUAAUUUCAUUAUGAAUUUUUUCUAUGCAAAUAAUUAAUUAAACAAGCUUAAGGAGAAGUGUUAAUUAGCAAAAUUUGGAUUAAUAAAGGCGUUGCCCUAUGCUGAUUAAUUGCUAUCUCUGUUGAUUGUUUUUGAGAUUUUAUACACAUUGUGUGGAUCCUUGGGUUAUUUGUUGUGAAAUUAAUUAAUUUUGUUAUAUCUUUGGAAUUGGUUAUGGCCAUUGGGCAAAUCGUGAUAUGAAUUGAUUUUGUAUGUUGCCGUGAUAAUAUUCCGUGUAAAUUGUUGUGUUAUUUGAGUUAGUAAUUUGAGGGCAUAAAGGUGGCAUGUGAAUUGUCCGCGCAGUUGAGAUAUGUAAUGUGGGCACGAAGUGUCGGAAAAAAUAUGAUGGUUUUAUUAUUGGCAUGUGAACUAUCCGUGCAGAUAUGAUAUGAAAAAUGAGCACGAAGUGCCGGGAAAAUAUGAUGAUUAAAUUAUGGGCACGAAGUGCCGUGAAAAUAUGAAAAGGGCUGAGACCCGUAUUUUUAUGAUUAUGAAAUGAGGUGUCACGUGGUGACUUUUAAUUGAAAGAAUUAUAUUUAAAAUAUUUAUUUGGAAGGACUUUUAUGCAAAAAGUAGUAUUUGAAGGAAUUGUAUGUGAAACAUAUUUAUUGUGGAAAUUAUAUUUGAAAAAGAUUUGUUGAAAGAAUUAUAUUUGAAGGAUAUUUAUUUGAGAAAAUUAUAUUUAAAAUAGAGUUAUUUGGAAGAAUUAUAUGUGAAAGAUAUUUAUUUGAAGAACUUGGUUAUUUGUUGAGUGAUAUUAAUAGUGUUCUUCUUGCCAUGCCGGGUAUAUCACGGGUUGAUUUGUAUUGCCCUUAUUAUUAUUUGUUUUCUAUUAUUUUGUAUACUAUAUUGCACAGGUAAUUAUACUAGUGGGUGUCUUGACUGUACCUCGUCUCUACUCCACUGAGGUUAGUCUUGAUACUUAUUGGGUACCGACCGUUGUGUCCUAAUAUAACACUUCUGCAUAUUUUUGUGCAGAGCCAUGUAUUGGAGCUAUUGGACUCGGACAGAGUUAAAGUGUGAUCGCAAGUAUUCAAGAUAGAACUGCUUGGUCGUCGCAGUCCCUUGAAAUCUUUUUAUUUUAUUGUACUAUUAAUUAUUAUUUAAACAGUAUUGAGUAUUUGAUCUUUGAGAUCAUUCCAUGUAUUUAGUUAGAGUUCGUAACUGAGUAUUACCAGUCUUGGUUGGUUGUUGUAUUCAUAUUUGUUUCCGUUGUUAGUUUUGAUUACUUAUAAAAAAAAUUUUAAAAAA